GAUGAACGCUGGCGGCGUGCCUAAUACAUGCAAGUCGAGCGAACAGACGAGGAGCUUGCUCCUCUGACGUUAGCGGCGGACGGGUGAGUAACACGUGGAUAACCUACCUAUAAGACUGGGAUAACUUCGGGAAACCGGAGCUAAUACCGGAUAAUAUAUUGAACCGCAUGGUUCAAUAGUGAAAGACGGUUUUGCUGUCACUUAUAGAUGGAUCCGCGCCGCAUUAGCUAGUUGGUAAGGUAACGGCUUACCAAGGCGACGAUGCGUAGCCGACCUGAGAGGGUGAUCGGCCACACGUGAACUGAGACACGGUCCAGACUCCUACGGGAGGGAGCAGUAGGGAAUCUUCCGCAAUGGGCGAAAGCCUGACGGAGCAACGCCGCGUGAGUGAUGAAGGUCUUCGGAUCGUAAAACUCUGUUAUUAGGGAAGAACAAAUGUGUAAGUAACUAUGCACGUCUUGACGGUACCUAAUCAGAAAGCCACGGCUAACUACGUG
This 497-nucleotide ribosomal RNA is filed under the name uncultured bacterium. Its description in RNAcentral is "partial 16S ribosomal RNA". It matches the Rfam family "Bacterial small subunit ribosomal RNA", at positions 28 to 507 of the family's 1533-position model. The record is from RNAcentral.